Molecule: ribosomal RNA, 253 nt
Filed under: uncultured bacterium
Lineage: Bacteria
Description: partial 16S ribosomal RNA
Rfam family: Bacterial small subunit ribosomal RNA
Source: RNAcentral
UACAGAGGGUGCAAACGUUGUUCGGAUUUACUGGGCGUAAAGCGCAUGUAGGCUGCUUCGCAAGUCGGAUGUGAAAGCCCUGGGCUCAACCCAGGAAGUGCAUUCGAAACUGCAGAGCUGGAGUCCUGGAGAGGAAGGCGGAAUUCUCGGUGUAGAGGUGAAAUUCGUAGAUAUCGAGAGGAACACCGGUGGCGAAGGCGGCCUUCUGGACAGUGACUGACGCUGAGACGCGAAAGCGUGGGGAGCAAACAGG